UCCGAGUUAACCCCGGCGGUCCCACGUGAGUUCCCGGCAUGACCCGCUGGCAACACGCGGCGAGGGUUGCGCUCGUUGCGGGACUUAACCCAACAUCUCACGACACGAGCUGACGACGACCAUGCACCACCUGUGAACCGGCCCCGAAGGGAACCCGCGUCUCCGCGGGCGUCCGGCACAUGUCAAGCCCAGGUAAGGUUCUUCGCGUUGCAUCGAAUUAAUCCGCAUGCUCCGCCGCUUGUGCGGGCCCCCGUCAAUUUCUUUGAGUUUUAGCCUUGCGGCCGUACUCCCCAGGCGGGAUGCUUAACGCGUUAGCUCCGACACAGGACCCGGAAAAAGGGCCCCACAUCCAGCAUCCACCGUUUACGGCGUGGACUAC
This 379-nucleotide unclassified non-coding RNA is filed under the name uncultured Bifidobacteriaceae bacterium. Its description in RNAcentral is "contains 16S-23S intergenic spacer region". The record is from RNAcentral. Lineage: Bacteria; Bacillati; Actinomycetota; Actinomycetes; Bifidobacteriales; Bifidobacteriaceae.